UCCCAGACUCCUACGGGAGGCAGCAGUAGGGAAUAUUGCUCAAUGGGGGAAACCCUGACGCAGCAACGCCGCGUGAUUGAUGAAGCCCUUCGGGGUGUAAAGAUCUGUCAGUGGGGACGAAACUUGACGGUACCCACAGAGGAAGCAUCGGCUAACUCCGUGCCAGCAGCCGCGGUAAUACGGAGGGUGCAAGCGUUACUCGGAAUCACUGGGCGUAAAGAGUGCGUAGGCGGGGUAAUAAGUCAGAUGUGAAAUCCUGUAGCUUAACUACAGAACUGCAUUUGAAACUGUUACUCUGGAGUGUGGGAGAGGUAGGUGGAAUUCUUGGUGUAGGGGUAAAAUCCGUAGAGAUCAAGAGGAAUACUCAUUGCGAAGGCGACCUGCUGGAACAUUACUGACGCUGAUGCACGAAAGCGUGGGGAGCAAACAGGAUUAGAUACCCCAGUACC
Molecule: ribosomal RNA, 449 nt
Filed under: uncultured bacterium
Lineage: Bacteria
Description: bacterial SSU rRNA
Rfam family: Bacterial small subunit ribosomal RNA
Source: RNAcentral